AGAGUGAACGCUGGCGGUAGGCCUAACACAUGCAAGUCGAACGGCAGCACAGGAGAGCUUGCUCUCUGGGUGGCGAGUGGCGGACGGGUGAGGAAUACAUCGGAAUCUACCUUUUCGUGGGGGAUAACGUAGGGAAACUUACGCUAAUACCGCAUAAGACCUUCGGGUGAAAGCCGGGGACCUUCGGGCCUGGCGCGGAUAGAUGAGCCGAUGUCGGAUUAGCUUGUUGGCGGGGUAAAAGCCCACCAAGGCGACGAUCCGUAGCUGGUCUGAGAGGAUGAUCACGCCACACUGGAACUGAGACACGGUCCAGCUCCUACGGGAGCAGCAGGUGGGAAUAUGGAACAAGUGACG
RNAcentral lists this ribosomal RNA (354 nucleotides) under uncultured soil bacterium. RNAcentral describes it as "bacterial SSU rRNA". It matches the Rfam family "Bacterial small subunit ribosomal RNA", at positions 26 to 377 of the family's 1533-position model. The record is from RNAcentral.